RNAcentral lists this ribosomal RNA (2012 nucleotides) under human gut metagenome. RNAcentral's name for it is "bacterial LSU rRNA". It matches the Rfam family "Bacterial large subunit ribosomal RNA", at positions 872 to 2925 of the family's 2925-position model. The record is from RNAcentral.
CUCCGCAGCGUUGUAAUAAAGAGUCUACUGGAGGUAGAGCUACUGAUUGGAUGCGGGGGCUUCACCGCCUACCAAAUCCUGACAAACUCCGAAUGCCAGUAGUAUGAUUUACAGCAGUGAGUGACUGGGUGCUAAUGUCCAGUCGCAAAAGAGGAACAACUCAGACCAGCAACUAAGGUCCCGAAGAAUAUGCUAAGUUGAUCUAACGAUGUUUUGUUGCAGAGACAGCUAGGAUGUUAGCUUGGAAGCAGCUAUUCAUUCAAAGAGUGCGUAACAGCUCACUAGUCGAGCGACAGAGCGUGGAUAAUAAACGGGCAUCAAGCAUAUCACCGAAGUUCUGGGCGCGAGAGCGCGGUAGGGGAGCAUUCCAUUCAGCGUCGAAGCAGUUUCGUGAGGAAUUGUGGAGCGUAUGGAAAAGCAAAUGUAGGCAUGAGUAACGAUAAUGCGGGAGAGUAACCCGCACACCGCAAGACCAAGGUUUCCUGAUCAACGCUAAUCGGAUCAGGGUUAGUCGGGUCCUAAGGGUAAGCCGAACGGCGAUCUCGAUGGAUAAUCGGUUAAUAUUCCGAUACUAACAUAUACCUCGAUGGAGAGACGAAGGAACGUAAGUGACGCCGCCUGACGGAAUAGGUGGUUAAAGGGCGUAGGUAUAGGGGCAGAUUAAGAGUUAGUCCUUGCUGAAACCUGACAGUACAGAGAGCCUACGGGCAAUUUGAUAGAGCACCCAAGUCGACUUCCGAGAAAAUCUUCUAAGUUAUAGUAUAUGUUACCCGUACCGUAAACCGACACAGGUGGUCGAGGAGAGUAUCCUAAGGUGCUCGAGUGAAUCACGGUUAAGGAACUAGGCAAAUUAACCCCGUAACUUCGGGAAAAGGGGUCCCUAUGAAAGUAGGGCGCAGCGAAGAGGUCCAGGCGACUGUUUAUCAAAAACACAGGGCUCUGCAAAUUCGAAAGAAGACGUAUAGGGCCUGACACCUGCCCGGUGCUGGAAGGUUAAGAGGGGAUGUUAUCGCAAGAGAAGCAUUGAAUCGAAGCCCCAGUAAACGGCGGCCGUAACUAUAACGGUCCUAAGGUAGCGAAAUUCCUUGUCGGGUAAGUUCCGACCUGCACGAAUGGUGUAACGAUCUGGACACUGUCUCAACCGUGAGCUCGGUGAAAUUGUAGUCCCGGUGAAGAUGCCGGGUACCCGCAACGGGACGAAAAGACCCCGUGAACCUUUACUAUAGCUUAACGCUGAAUUUGGGUACACAAUGUGUAGGAUAGGCCGGAGACAUUGAAGCGGGUACGCCAGUAUUCGUGGAGUCAACGUUGAAAUACGGCCCUUUGUGUACUUGGAUUCUAACCCUUGAUAGGGGACACCGUUUGGUGGGUAGUUUGACUGGGGUGGUCGCCUCCAAAAGCGUAACGGAGGCUUCCCAAGGUACCCUCAGCACGAAUGGUAACCGUGCGCAGAGUGCAAUAGCAUAAGGGUGCUUGACUGUGAGACUUACAAGUCGACCAGGUGCGAAAGCAGGGUAUAGUGAUCCGGUGGUUCUGUGUGGACUGGCCAUCGCUCAAAGGAUAAAAGGUACUCCGGGGAUAACAGGCUGAUCGCCGCCAAGAGCUCAUAUCGACGCGGCGGUUUGGCACCUCGAUGUCGGCUCGUCACAUCCUGGGGCUGGAGAAGGUCCCAAGGGUUGGGCUGUUCGCCCAUUAAAGUGGCACGCGAGCUGGGUUCAGAACGUCGUGAGACAGUUCGGUCUCUAUCUAUCGUGGGCGUAUGAAAUUUGCGUGGCUCUGACACUAGUACGAGAGGACCGUGUUGGACAGACCUCUGGUUUACCGGUUGUGCCGCCAGGUGCAUUGCCGGGUAUCUAAGUCUGGAUCGGAUAAGUGCUGAAAGCAUCUAAGUACGAAGCCGGCCACAAGAUUAGAUUUCUCAGGGUCGUCAAAGACGAUGACGUUGAUAGGAUGCAGGUGUAAAGGUAGAGAUACCAAAGCCGAGCAUUACUAAUUGCCCGUAUGCUUUCCUU